Molecule: long non-coding RNA, 538 nt
Filed under: Homo sapiens (human)
Lineage: Eukaryota; Metazoa; Chordata; Mammalia; Primates; Hominidae
Description: non-protein coding lnc-PUF60-2:2
Source: RNAcentral
UCAGCCGGGCUCUGUGGGCCUCAGGGCUGGGAGCCCACCCGUCCACCUGGGUGGUUUGGGGCAGGGCUGGCACCGGCCUGACCAACACUCUCCCCAUCACAGUCACCGGACUUUGCUGAGGAGUUGAGGUCCCUGGAACCAUCUCCCAGCCCUGGCCCGCAGGAGGAGGAUGGAGAAGUGGCUCUGGUGCUUCUGGGCAGGCCCUCACCCGGCGCUGUGGGCCCUGAAGAUGUGGCACUGUGCAGCAGCCGCCGCCCCGUAAGGCCUGGGCGCCGUGGCCUGGGCCCUGUGCCCUCCUAGAGGAGCAGGCACCUCCCCCAGACUUGGGGUGGGGGCCCUGCCAGCUCCAGCACCACCCUUGCCCCAAGUCUUUUAACCUGGGUGUUAGCAUUUUAAAGAGACCCCACAGGAGUUCUGGCCUGUGACUAACUAACUGCCCCACCCCAGCCGAGACCUCGGCGAGACUGUAACUAGUGAUGUUUGUACAACCAAAGACUCUAUUUUGUGGUUUAAGGAGAAUAAAGUUGACUACAUUUUA